Molecule: non-coding RNA, 83 nt
Organism: Termitomyces sp. T159_Od127
Lineage: Eukaryota; Fungi; Basidiomycota; Agaricomycetes; Agaricales; Lyophyllaceae
Source: the annotation of a GenBank genome assembly
GGGGGCAUAGCUCAGUUGGGAGAGCAGCAGACUGAAGAUCUCAGGACUUCUGAAGGUCCCGCGUUCAAUCCGCGGUGCCCCCA